Molecule: transfer RNA, 76 nt
Filed under: marine sediment metagenome
Description: tRNA-Asp
Rfam family: tRNA
About the family: Transfer RNA (tRNA) molecules are approximately 80 nucleotides in length. Their secondary structure includes four short double-helical elements and three loops (D, anti-codon, and T loops).
Source: RNAcentral
AGUCUGUUGGUCUAGCGGUCAAGACGUCGCCCUGUCACGGCGAAGAUCACGGGUUCAAAUCCCGUACAGACUGCCA